GGCGGCAGGCCUAACACAUGCAAGUCGAACGGUAGGUUAAAAGCUUGCUUUUAACACGAGUGGCGCACGGGUGCGUAACCCGUAUGCAAUCUACCCUAUUCUGGAGAAUAGCCCUUAGAAAUGAGGAUUAAUACUCCAUAGUAUCACAAUUUCGCAUGUUAUUGUGAUUAAAGCUUCGGCGGAAUAGGAUGAGCAUGCGUCCCAUUAGAUAGUUGGUGAGGUAAUGGCUCACCAAGUCUGCGAUGGGUAGGGGGCCUGAGAGGGUUAUCCCCCACACUGGUACUGAGACACGGACCAGACUCCUACGGGAGGCAGCAGUGAGGAAUAUUGGUCAAUGGACGAAAGUCUGAACCAGCCAUGCCGCGUGCAGGAUGACUGCCCUAUGGGUUGUAAACUGCUUUUAUAUAGGAAGAAACCCCCUUACGUGUAAGGGGCUGACGGUACUAUAAGAAUAAGGACCGGCUAACUCCGUGCCAGCAGCCGCGGUAAUACGGAGGGUCCAAGCGUUAUCCGGAUUUAUUGGGUUUAAAGGGUACGUAGGCGGAAUUUUAAGUCAGUAGUGAAAGCCCAUCGCUUAACGAUGGAACUGCUAUUGAUACUGGAAUUCUUGAAUAUAGUUGAAGUUGGCGGAAUACGGCAUGUAGCGGUGAAAUGCAUAGAUAUGCCGUGGAACACCGAUCGCGAAGGCAGCUAACUAAGCUAUUAUUGACGCUGAGGUACGAAAGCGUGGGGAGCGAACAGGAUUAGAUACCCUGGUAGUCCACGCCGUAAACUAUGAUUAC
Molecule: ribosomal RNA, 782 nt
Filed under: uncultured Bacteroidota bacterium
Lineage: Bacteria; Pseudomonadati; Bacteroidota
Description: bacterial SSU rRNA
Rfam family: Bacterial small subunit ribosomal RNA
Source: RNAcentral